Molecule: ribosomal RNA, 404 nt
Filed under: uncultured Lactobacillus sp.
Lineage: Bacteria; Bacillati; Bacillota; Bacilli; Lactobacillales; Lactobacillaceae
Description: bacterial SSU rRNA
Rfam family: Bacterial small subunit ribosomal RNA
Source: RNAcentral
AUGAACGCUGGCGGCGUGCCUAAUACAUGCAAGUCGAACGAGAUCUCGUUGAUGAUCGGUGCUUGCACCGAGAUUCAACAUGGAACGAGUGGCGGACGGGUGAGUAACACGUGGGUAACCUGCCCUUAAGUGGGGGAUAACAUUUGGAAACAGAUGCUAAUACCGCAUAGAUCCAAGAACCGCAUGGUUCUUGGCUGAAAGAUGGCGUAAGCUAUCGCUUUUGGAUGGACCCGCGGCGUAUUAGCUAGUUGGUGAGGUAAAGGCUCACCAAGGCGAUGAUACGUAGCCGAACUGAGAGGGUGAUCGGCCACAUUGGGACUGAGACACGGGCCAAACUCCUACGGAGCAGCAGUAGGGAAUCUUCCACAAUGGACGCAAGUCUGAUGGAGCAACGCCGCGUGAGU